UUACAGAUGGGCUGUGUUCAGGUACAGUGAUCGAUCGGUAAGCUGCUCUGACUGCUAGUGUUUAAAUUAGAUUGAGGUAGUCGGGUGGGCUAUUUACAGAUGGGCUGUGUACAGGUACAGUGAUCGGUAAGCUGCUCUGACUGCUAGUGUUUAAAUUAGAUUGAGGUAGUCGGGUGGGCUAUUUACAGAUGGGCUGUGUUCAGGUACAGUGAUCGAUCGGUAAGCUGCUCUGACUGCUAGUGUUUAAAUUAGAUUGAGGUAGUUGGGUGGGCUAUUUACAGAUGGGCUGUGUACAGGUACAGUGAUCGGUAAGCUGCUCUGACUCCUGGUGUUUAAAUUAGAUUGAGGUAGUCGGGUGGGCUAUUUACAGAUGGGCUGUGUACAGGUACAGUGAUCGGUAAGCUGCUCUGACUCCUGGUGUUUAAAUUAGAUUGAGGUAGUCGGGUGGGCUAUUUACAGAUGGGCUGUGUACAGGUACAGUGAUCGGUAAGCUGCUCUGACUCCUGGUGUUUAAAUUAGAUUGAGGUAGUCGGGUGGGCUAUUUACAGAUGGGCUGUGUACAGGUACAGUGAUCGGUAAGCUGCUCUGACUCCUGGUGUUUAAAUUAGAUUGAGGUAGUUGGGUGGGCUAUUUACAGAUGGGCUGUGUACAGGUACAGUGAUCGGUAAGCUGCUCUGACUCCUGGUGUUUAAAUUAGAUUGAGGUAGUCGGGUGGGCUAUUUACAGAUGGGCUGUGUACAGGUACAGUGAUCGGUAAGCUGCUCUGACUCCUGGUGUUUAAAUUAGAUUGAGGUAGUCGGGUGGGCUAUUUACAGAUGGGCUGUGUACAGGUACAGUGAUCGGUAAGCUGCUCUGACUCCUGGUGUUUAAAUUAGAUUGAGGUAGUCGGGUGGGCUAUUUACAGAUGGGCUGUGUACAGGUACAGUGAUCGGUAAGCUGCUCUGACUCCUGGUGUUUAAAUUAGAUUGAGGUAGUCGGGUGGGCUAUUUACAGAUGGGCUGUGUACAGGUACAGUGAUCGGUAAGCUGCUCUGACUGCUAGUGUUUAAAUUAGAUUGAGGUAGUCGGGUGGGCUAUUUACAGAUGGGCUGUGUACAGGUACAGUGAUCGGUAAGCUGCUCUGACUCCUGGUGUUUAAAUUAGAUU
Oncorhynchus keta (chum salmon) is the source of this 1145-nucleotide long non-coding RNA. RefSeq lists it as uncharacterized. The record is from RefSeq and is a predicted model, not a curated record. NCBI's taxonomy places the organism in Eukaryota, Metazoa, Chordata, Actinopteri, Salmoniformes, Salmonidae. The transcript is spliced from 10 exons.